RNAcentral lists this ribosomal RNA (449 nucleotides) under Cemophora coccinea (scarlet snake). Its description in RNAcentral is "partial 16S ribosomal RNA". It matches the Rfam family "Bacterial large subunit ribosomal RNA", at positions 1850 to 2608 of the family's 2925-position model. The record is from RNAcentral. Lineage: Eukaryota; Metazoa; Chordata; Lepidosauria; Squamata; Colubridae.
AAGGCACGCCUGCCCAGUGAAUAAUUAAACGGCCGCGGUACCCUAACCGUGCAAAGGUAGCGUAAUCAUUUGUCUACUAAUUAUAGACCUGUAUGAAAGGCAAAAUGAGGAUUUAACUGUCUCUUAUAAUAAAUCAAUUAAACUGAUCUCCUAGUAAAAAAGCUAGAAUAAUAACAUAAGACCAGAAGACCCUGUGAAGCUUAAAUCAAACUAUUAAACCAUAUAAUAACUACUUUCGGUUGGGGCGACCUUGGAAAAAAAAAGAACUUCCAAGACCCAGCACAGCUGAUAAUUGAACCAAGUUACUCCAGGGAUAACAGCGCAAUCUUCUUCAAGAGCCCAUAUCAAAAAGAAGGUUUACGACCUCGAUGUUGGAUCAGGACAUCCUAAUGGUGCAGCCGCUAUUAAGGGUUCGUUUGUUCAACGAUUAACAGUCCUACGUGAUCUGA